This 253-nucleotide ribosomal RNA is filed under the name uncultured prokaryote. Its description in RNAcentral is "partial 16S ribosomal RNA". It matches the Rfam family "Bacterial small subunit ribosomal RNA", at positions 524 to 776 of the family's 1533-position model. The record is from RNAcentral.
UACGUAGGAGGCGAGCGUUGUCCGGAUUUACUGGGCGUAAAGGGCGCGCAGGCGGCAUGUCAAGUAAGGUGUGAAAUCUCCCUGCUCAACGGGGAGGGUGCAUUUUAGACUGGCAAGCUAGAGGACGGUAGAGGGGGGUAGAAUUGCUGGUGUAGCGGUGAAAUGCGUAGAGAUCAGCAGGAAUACCCGUGGCGAAGGCGGCCCCCUGGGCCGAACCUGACGCUGAGGCGCGAAGGCUAGGGGAGCGAACGGG